Molecule: ribosomal RNA, 309 nt
Filed under: Triticum aestivum (bread wheat)
Lineage: Eukaryota; Viridiplantae; Streptophyta; Magnoliopsida; Poales; Poaceae
Description: partial small subunit ribosomal RNA
Source: RNAcentral
AUGGCACUAUGGCAGGAUGAUGAGCAGCCGACCAGCCUCCAGCUUCCUCUUCUCUUUCUUCCUUUCUCACGGGGUCUUCGUGGAAGCCAAGGCCAAGCUGUGACCUACCUGCAGGGACAAGAAGAAACGUCACGAAGAGUCAUUGUGUUGCUGGCAGCCGCACGUUACAGUGCUCUAGUGAUUGCACGGUUGCGCCUCCCUUUGGUCGUGCGGUUUAUGAACCAAACCUCAAAAGCAGCCGCAGAUUCCCAAUUCUCCAUCGGUCGAAACAUAUUAUGCAACUGCCAACUGCAAGUGCCUGCCUCGUGA